RNAcentral lists this ribosomal RNA (507 nucleotides) under uncultured bacterium. Its description in RNAcentral is "bacterial SSU rRNA". It matches the Rfam family "Bacterial small subunit ribosomal RNA", at positions 24 to 520 of the family's 1533-position model. The record is from RNAcentral.
UCAGAUUGAACGCUGGCGGCAGGCCUAACACAUGCAAGUCGAACGGUAACAGAAAGCAGCUUGCUGCUUUGCUGACGAGUGGCGGACGGGUGAGUAAUGUCUGGGAAACUGCCUGAUGGAGGGGGAUAACUACUGGAAACGGUAGCUAAUACCGCAUAACGUCGCAAGACCAAAGAGGGGGACCUUCGGGCCUCUUGCCAUCGGAUGUGCCCAGAUGGGAUUAGCUUGUUGGUGGGGUAACGGCUCACCAAGGCGACGAUCUCUAGCUGGUCUGAGAGGAUGACCAGCCACACUGGAACUGAGACACGGUCCAGACUCCUACGGGAGGCAGCAGUGGGGAAUAUUGCACAAUGGGCGCAAGCCUGAUGCAGCCAUGCCGCGUGUAUGAAGAAGGCCUUCGGGUUGUAAAGUACUUUCAGCGGGGAGGAAGGGAGUAAAGUUAAUACCUUUGCUCAUUGACGUUACCCGCAGAAGAAGCACCGGCUAACUCCGUGCCAGCAGCCGCGG